Molecule: non-coding RNA, 162 nt
Organism: Onthophagus taurus
Lineage: Eukaryota; Metazoa; Arthropoda; Insecta; Coleoptera; Scarabaeidae
Source: RefSeq, a predicted model, not a curated record
ACGUUAGUCAGUUAACUUUAAGAUAGAUGUCGUGGUGUGUCGAUAGAGGGCUCUCGGUCCUUUUUAGAAGAUGUGAGAGACAACAUGUAUAAGAUGGAGUUUGUUACAUGGUGUCAGGUGAAACACCUGAGAACUGAAAAAGAAGAAAGAAAAGGAAAAGGA